This 274-nucleotide ribosomal RNA is filed under the name uncultured bacterium. RNAcentral describes it as "partial 16S ribosomal RNA". It matches the Rfam family "Bacterial small subunit ribosomal RNA", at positions 523 to 796 of the family's 1533-position model. The record is from RNAcentral.
AUACGGAGGGGGCUAGCGUUGUUCGGAAUUACUGGGCGUAAAGCGCGUGUAGGCGGAUCGUUAAGUCAGGGGUGAAAGCCCGGGGCUCAACCCCGGAACUGCCCUUGAUACUGGCGAUCUAGAGUCCGGAAGAGGUGGGCGGAAUUCCCGGUGUAGAGGUGAAAUUCGUAGAUAUCGGGAGGAACACCAGUGGCGAAGGCGGCUCACUGGUCCGGUACUGACGCUGAGACGCGAAAGCGUGGGGAGCAAACAGGAUUAGAUACCCUAGUAGUCC